GAAGCUGACCAGACAGUCGCCGCUUCGUCGUCGUCCUCCUUCGGGGGGAGACGGGCGGAGGGGAGGAAAGUCCGGGCUCCAUAGGGCAAGGUGCCAGGUAACGCCUGGGGGGUGUCACAGCCCACGACCAGUGCAACAGAGAGCAAACCGCCGAUGGCCCGCGCAAGCGGGAUCAGGUAAGGGUGAAAGGGUGCGGUAAGAGCGCACCGCGCGGCUGGUAACAGUCCGCGGCACGGUAAACUCCACCGGGAGCAAGGCCAAAUAGGGGUUCAUAAGGUACGGCCCGUACUGAACCCGGGUAGGCUGCUUGAGCCAGUGAGCGAUUGCUGGCCUAGAUGAAUGACUGUCCACGACAGAACCCGGCUUAUCGGUCAGUUUCACCU
Molecule: RNase P RNA, 383 nt
Filed under: Klebsiella pneumoniae
Lineage: Bacteria; Pseudomonadati; Pseudomonadota; Gammaproteobacteria; Enterobacterales; Enterobacteriaceae
Description: RNase P RNA component class A
Rfam family: Bacterial RNase P class A
About the family: Ribonuclease P (RNase P) is a ubiquitous endoribonuclease, found in archaea, bacteria and eukarya as well as chloroplasts and mitochondria. Its best characterised activity is the generation of mature 5'-ends of tRNAs by cleaving the 5'-leader elements of precursor-tRNAs.
Source: RNAcentral